Cotesia glomerata is the source of this 747-nucleotide long non-coding RNA. RefSeq lists it as uncharacterized. The transcript has 2 exons. The record is from RefSeq and is a predicted model, not a curated record. NCBI's taxonomy places the organism in Eukaryota, Metazoa, Arthropoda, Insecta, Hymenoptera, Braconidae.
AAAACAUUAUCAUUUUUCUAUUUUUUUUUCAUUUAUUUAAAAAAAAAAGUUCGCCCGUUGUAAUUUUAACCAAAUAAGAAAGUAAAGAAAAUAUUAAUCAUUUUAGUGCUGAAUGGAAAAAUAUUACCGGUGAAAGUUUUUCACUAGUAAAUAUGUUAUUUAAAUUGAAUCAAUACAAAAACUAAAAAAGAGAAGUUAAUUAUCAUAAAUAAAUGACGAGUCAUGGAAUCGUUUCGACGGACGAAAAGUUUCCAGUAAGUAUUCUGAUAAAUCCCGAAAAAAAAAAAUAAAAAAAAAUAGUUUAAACAAAAUCAAGGAAUAUUAUCAGAAUAAAAUUAUUAUUUUUCAUUAUUAUUAUUAUUCAGCAACGAAGUUGCGUGGACCUUAGUCCUUCUUGACGGCUUGCUUGGCCUGAUGAGCCUGUAGCACGGCGACGGCUUCCUCGACUUUAGCCUUGAGCGAUUCGCUGUGCUCCAACAUGUGCAACAACUCAGAAUUAUCAAUCUCGAGCAACAUGCCAGUAAUCUUACCGGUGAGCUGCGGGUACAUCAUCUGGAUAAGCGGGAAAAGUCUUUCACCCAGCAUUUGCUUCUGUUCUUGAGGAAGAGCAGCAGCCAGCAUGGAAGCAGUGAGGGGUUCCUGACCCUGGAUGUGGACAGCUUGCUGAACCGGAGCCGGCUGGGGCAUCUGCAUGGGCUGGGGUGGGUUGCGAACGUUGAUGUUGUACUUGAAGUUCGGAGGCCGACU